UACGAAGGGGACUAGCGUUGUUCGGAAUUACUGGGCGUAAAGCGCACGUAGGCGGCUUUGUAAGUCAGAGGUGAAAGCCCGGAGCUCAACUCCAGAACUGCCUUUGAGACUGCAUCGCUUGAAUCCAGGAGAGGUGAGUGGAAUUCCGAGUGUAGAGGUGAAAUUCGUAGAUAUUCGGAAGAACACCAGUGGCGAAGGCGGCGGCCUGGGCCUAAACUGACACUGAGGUGCGAAAGCGUGGGGAGCAAACAGG
RNAcentral lists this ribosomal RNA (253 nucleotides) under uncultured bacterium. RNAcentral describes it as "partial 16S ribosomal RNA". It matches the Rfam family "Bacterial small subunit ribosomal RNA", at positions 524 to 776 of the family's 1533-position model. The record is from RNAcentral.